UACGGAGGAGGCAAGCGUUAUCCGGAAUUAUUGGGCGUAAAGAGCUCGUAGGCGGUUUGUCACGUCGGGAGUGAAAACUCGGGGCUUAACCCCGAGCCUGCUUCCGAUACGGGCUGACUAGAGGUAUGCAGGGGAGAACGGAAUUCCUGGUGUAGCGGUGAAAUGCGCAGAUAUCGGGAGGAACACCGGUGGCGAAGGCGGUUCUCUGGGCCUUACCUGACGCUGAGGAGCGAAAGCGUGGGGAGCGAACAGG
RNAcentral lists this ribosomal RNA (253 nucleotides) under uncultured bacterium. RNAcentral's name for it is "partial 16S ribosomal RNA". It matches the Rfam family "Bacterial small subunit ribosomal RNA", at positions 524 to 776 of the family's 1533-position model. The record is from RNAcentral.